ACUCCUACGGGAGGCAGCAGUGGGGAAUUUUGCGCAAUGGGGGAAACCCUGACGCAGCAACGCCGCGUGAGUGGUGAAGGCCCUUGGGUCGUAAAGCUCUGACAGAGGGAAAGAAAUGUGGGUGGCUAAUAUCCAUUCCACUUGACGGUACCCUCAAAGGAAGCACCGGCUAACUCCGUGCCAGCAGCCGCGGUAAUACGGAGGGUGCGAGCGUUGUUCGGAUUUAUUGGGCGUAAAGCGCGUGUAGGCGGUUUUAUAAGUCUGAUGUGAAAGCCCCGGGCUCAACCUGGGAAGUGCAUUGGAUACUGUAAGACUUGAAUACGGGAGAGGGCAGUGGAAUUCCUGGUGUAGGAGUGAAAUCCGUAGAUAUCAGGAGGAACACCGGUGGCGAAGGCGGCUGCCUGGACCGAUAUUGACGCUGAGACGCGAAAGCGUGGGUAGCAAACAGGAUUAGAUACCCUGGUAGUCCACGCUGUAAACGAUGAGAACUAGGUGUCGCGGGUA
This 504-nucleotide ribosomal RNA is filed under the name uncultured Geobacter sp. Its description in RNAcentral is "bacterial SSU rRNA". It matches the Rfam family "Bacterial small subunit ribosomal RNA", at positions 335 to 831 of the family's 1533-position model. The record is from RNAcentral. Lineage: Bacteria; Pseudomonadati; Thermodesulfobacteriota; Desulfuromonadia; Geobacterales; Geobacteraceae.